AGAGUUUGAUCCUGGCUCAGAUUGAACGCUGGCGGCAUGCCUCACACAUGCAAGUCGAAGGUAACGCGGGGCAACCUGGCGACGAGUGGCGAACGGGUGAGUAAUACAUCGGAACGUGCCAGUAAUGGGGGAUAGCCCGGCGAAAGCCGGAUUAAUACCGCAUACGACCUAAGGGUGAAGAGGGGGAUCGCAAGACCUCUCGUUAUUGGAGCGGCCGAUGGCAGAUUAGGUAGUUGUGGGGUAAAGGCCUACCAAGCCGACGAUCUGUAGCUGGUCUGAGAGGACGACCAGCCACCUGGGACUGAGACACGGCCCAGACUCCUACGGGAGGCAGCAGUGAGGAAUUUUUCGCAAGGGUGCAAGCCUGACGAAGCAAUGCCGCGUGCAGGAAGAAGGUCCGUGGAUCGUAAACUCUUUUGCUAGAGAAGAAACCCU
This 435-nucleotide ribosomal RNA is filed under the name uncultured beta proteobacterium. RNAcentral describes it as "bacterial SSU rRNA". It matches the Rfam family "Bacterial small subunit ribosomal RNA", at positions 8 to 454 of the family's 1533-position model. Lineage: Bacteria; Pseudomonadati; Pseudomonadota; Betaproteobacteria. The record is from RNAcentral.